Molecule: ribosomal RNA, 497 nt
Filed under: uncultured bacterium
Lineage: Bacteria
Description: partial 16S ribosomal RNA
Rfam family: Bacterial small subunit ribosomal RNA
Source: RNAcentral
GAUGAGCGCUGGCGGCGUGCCUAAUACAUGCAAGUCGAGCGAACAGACGAGGAGCUUGCUCCUCUGACGUUAGCGGCGGACGGGUGAGUAACACGUGGAUAACCUACCUAUAAGACUGGGAUAACUUCGGGAAACCGGAGCUAAUACCGGAUAAUAUAUUGAACCGCAUGGUUCAAUAGUGAAAGACGGUUUUGCUGUCACUUAUAGAUGGAUCCGCGCCGCAUUAGCUAGUUGGUAAGGUAACGGCCUACCAAGGCAACGAUGCGUAGCCGACCUGAGAGGGUGAUAGGCCACACUGGAACUGAGACACGGUCCAGACUCCUACGGGAGGCAGCAGUAGGGAAUCUUCCGCAAUGGGCGAAAGCCUGACGGAGCAACGCCGCGUGAGUGAUGAAGGUCUUCGGAUCGUAAAACUCUGUUAUUAGGGAAGAACAAAUGUGUAAGUAACUAUGCACGUCUUGACGGUACCUAAUAAGAAAGCCACGGCUAACUACGUG